GCACCUGUCCGGCAAGACCACAUGGGAGUGUUAUGAACAAGCAACUACCUCUUUUAAUAAUCUAUCAUUUACUUUAAUUUCACGCAAUUAAGAGCAAUUUGCUUGGUCUAGAGAUGUUCUUCUGUGGUAAAUGCUUGCCUGGCAGGCAGGAAGCCUGGGCUUCAAUCUCUGGUAUCUCAACAAAAACCAGCCCUGUUAUCCCAGAAGCAGCACACAUAUAGUAUGCAAGCUGGAAAACAGUUCAAAUGAGAAUACUAAGAACCCCACAAGAGGUCCUGUGACCACACUAUGUUCCCAACAUUCACCCCAGACCUCCACCUCUGCAACAGGACUUGGGUUUUUGCAUUAAGUCCAAGUUGAACUGAGAAGUGAAUGAAAGAUCAUUGUGUUAAACAGAUGCAGCACAGUGGAAAAUUUCUUUUUCCAACUAUUUCCCCCUUAACCUUUCAGUAAUUCAAACAUGGCACAAAUUAACCCAGGGGAGAAAAUGUUUCCUCUUUCCUGGACCUUAAAAAACCAAAAUGUAACUUCUAGCAGCCAGUGUGAUCUUGAUAUAGAGCAACAUUUGCUUGUUUACCAAUAUCCAGUAAGAUCCACUUGUGUUAACUAUGGUGGUAGGGUAUGGGAUGCAGAUCAACUCUCUGUUGCCUAGAGCUUUUAUUUUGGUGAGGGACGUUAAAUGUAGACAAUACAGUGGACAGAUAAAUUUAUUAUGAUAGAAAAAAACCAUAUGGGCUACUGUGUUAGCUAGAGUAAUGAGAAAAGUUGUCUUGGUGGAGGUGAGUUUGAAUAUGGACUGGCAACCCAGAAAAACAUAAUAGGACAAUAGCUUGGGGAAACCAGGUUUAGAUAAGUAGAAUCUAGGGAAAAAGCAAUUAGCUAGAGGUGUUUGUGGGAGCUAGCCACUCUCAAAGUGUAACAGCAGAACUGGUUUUAACUUCAAGUACUAAAACUGAAAAUCGUUCGUUACCUGAUACAGUUACCACGAGUUCCCUUGGCAAACCAAAUAUCCGGUUAUCUGUAUCAAAGACUAUUAGCACAGAACUGGCUGCAUCAUGAUGUACAAAGACCUAGAAGGAUAAAGUGUAAGAAUCAUAAAGAAGUCACUGUGGGGCCUGGAGAGAUGGCUCUGCAGUGAAGAGCACUGGCUGCUCUUCCAGAGGAUUUGGAUUUGGUUCCUAGCAUCCUCCUGGUGGCUCACAACCAUCCAUAACUCCUGUUCUACAGAAUCCAGAGAUCCAAACCCUCUUCUGGCUCUGCUGGCCUCCCAUGUGCAUGGUGCACAGACACAUAUGCAAGCAAACAUCCAUACACAUCAAAUAUUAAAAUUAAAUUUUAAAAAGCCACUAUGGGUAUACUACAGCCCUGCUUCACUAAACACUUUUGGGUCUAUAAAGCAAACUAGGAAGGUAACUGAGUGUCAUCUAAACUACACAAAAUGCUAUUCCAGUUUUUCUUUUGUUGCUGAGAAAUAGAAAACUACCUUUUGGCAACAAAAAGAUAACAGAUGCUAUAAUCAAGAGAUGGGCAUACUUUUCAUUUCUUUAUUCCUUUCAAGCUCUCUAACAAGUUUCAAAAUAAGACACAAAUAUUAUUAACAAUAAACACUUAUAUAAUCUGACUUGAGUUUCUUACCUGUGAAUGCUGCUGCUGGUACCCUUCAGCGAUGGCAUUGAUGUUAUGGACACCAGGAGCUAAAAGCACAUGGAAAUAACCCCCCUCUUUUGUGUGCACUUUUAUUCCAUCAUUAAGUACAAUGACUGCUUUAGAGAUCGGUUUACCAGUCUUGUCUUUAACUAACCCAUGGACUCCUUUGUGGACCUGGAAAAAAUGUUGACAUAAUUUAUGUUUUCACAAUGUCAGCAGAUGUUACAGGCAAUAGUUUGAGGCUUGAUCAAAAUCAACUAAUCUCUAUCUAUCUAUCUAUCUAUCUAUCUAUCUAUCUAUCUAUCUAUCUCUUUCUCUCUCUCUCUCCUUCUACACAAAACAACAACAACACCCUUGUAGUUAUAGGCAGGGCACAUCCUAUAAUCCUAGCUACUUAGGAGGCAGAUGCAGAUGCAGAUGCAGAUGCAGGAAACAGAGGUCAAGGCCACCCCCAUCAAAUUAGCAAACCUGCCUUAAAAAAAGUAGGGGUUUGAUGGUAUAUUAUAGCUCAGCGGCAGAGUGCUUAACAAGCAUACAAAGGGUUCUUCUUGGUACUGCAAAACCCAAACCAAAUCAAACAUGACUUUGUCAGCCUGGCUUAUCCUUCAUCCCCACUGACCCUGACCACAUUUGCUCACCAGUCAGUACUUCAGAGCCAAAGGUAAGAGAAAGAACUGUGACUCUGAAAGCCUAAAGCAUUAGAAGCAGUCUGCAGAUGCCUUGAGUUGCUUCCUUCCAUUGUACAGUGACUGUAACUGGGUGGCCCUCAGUUGGAAGAACAGGAAGCUCCCAAUUAUAUAGCAGAUUAAAGAUAUGUGCAUGCAUGGCAUCUAUUUUGGCAACAAAAAGAUGAGCAAAAUUCAGGCUGGGGAGAUGGCUCGGAGGAGGCGAGUGCUUUCUACUCCAGUGUGAGGAGAGCUGGCAUAAAUCCCCAUAACCCAUGUAAAAGACCAGGCGAACAUGGCAGUCCACCAGUGAUCCAGUGCUCGGGAGGCAGGGACAGAGAUGCCUGAGGCAAGCUGGCUAGCUAGACUAGCUAGAUUACAGAGCUCUGGGUACAGCGAGAUACCCUGUCUCAGUAGAUACGGUGGAAAGUGAGCUCAUCCUGUGACUUCCACAUGCCCAUGUACACAUGAGUAUGACAGCCCACGUAUUAACAGCAUGCACACACAUACCCCACCACCACACACACACACUUCCACACACAAAAGAACAAAAUGUUUCAAUAUACAUUGAAAAAUGUCUUAAUAAAGGUUUUCAUUGAAUAUACUCCUCUGAUGAAGCCUAGCAUGUAUGUAUGAGGCUUUGGGUUUGACUCCCAGUAUCAGAGGGAAACAAACAACUCAAAACAAGCUCACCUCUACCAACAUGCUAAGGAGAGACCUCUUGUUCUCUGCCCACAAGGCAGGGAGUUGAGCUGCACUAGGGAAGUAGCAACAGCUUGUAUACACAGUGAUUUCUGGGCAAUGGCCAUAGGUAACACUAUAAUCCUGAAAUGCAAAGUUCAGAAUCAAAUUAAUACAUGUAAAAAUUAACUUUGUAAGAAAAUGAAAUAAGAAGUGGGUGAUGUAAGCAGCAUUUGAGGUAUAUUUUACAACAAAUAUAAAUAAAUCACCAUGUACAACAAUGGGUCACAUACAGGACAGUGACUCUGCCUACUUCAUUCUAAUGUGGCAGUGCUUCCCACAGACCCUGUUAUUGGGGUUUGCUGAAUGAAUGAGUCCACAUGGAGAGCCGCCUUGCCUCUCAACUUUAGAACUCCACUGUUGCUCCCACAGCACUGGAGGUGGAGGACAAGCCUGAUCCCUUCAGUCUGAGCCUGCUGUGGCAAUGGCCAUGGCCACAGCAGAGUACUUAGUCAAGUGCAGGAACCACUUGUGCAGACAGAUUUAAACGUUACUUGCCAUCACCCUCCCUCAACUGUUCCUUUUUACAUUUACCUAAUGAUAUUAACUAACUUUCUAACAGUCAUGAAAUUUCAUCUUUUUGUUGUAACAUUUUUCUUAUUGACUAUAAUGUAGUUAUAUCAUUUAUCCCUUCUCUUUUCUCCUUCCAAACCCUUCCAUAUACCCGUCCCUGCUCUCUUUCAAGUCCGAGACCUCUUUUCUCAUUGAUUGCUGUUACAUAUAUUAUGUAUAUGCAUAUAUGUCUAAAUAUAACCUGUUCAGUCUA
Molecule: non-coding RNA, 3819 nt
Organism: Cricetulus griseus (Chinese hamster)
Lineage: Eukaryota; Metazoa; Chordata; Mammalia; Rodentia; Cricetidae
Source: RefSeq, a predicted model, not a curated record